This 949-nucleotide non-coding RNA is filed under the name Eremias argus. RNAcentral describes it as "12S ribosomal RNA". It matches the Rfam family "Bacterial small subunit ribosomal RNA". The record is from RNAcentral. Lineage: Eukaryota; Metazoa; Chordata; Lepidosauria; Squamata; Lacertidae.
AUAGUUUUGAUCCUAGACUUACCGUUGCUUUUUACUAAGAUUAUACAUGCAAGUCUCAGCAUGCCCGUGAAAAUGCCCAAAACCCCUAAAAAGAACCCCUGGAGCAGGCAUCAGGCACCACCCCCACCCCCGCCCAUAACGCCUUGUCUUACCACACCCCCACGGGAUUUCAGCAGUAAUAAAUAUUGGGCAAUAAGUGAAAACUUGACCCAACUAUAGCAUUAAGGGCUGGUUAAUUUCGUGCCAGCCACCGCGGUUAGACGAAAGGCCCAAGACAACGAACACACGGCGUAAAUUGUGACUAGAAACACUUAACAGGAAAAAAAUUAAACUCACAGACUAGUUGUAAAACACUCAGACUAUGAAGGAAACCCACAGUAAUUUUUUCUGCCUUAUGUCUUUGACCACACGAAAGCCUAGAAACAAACUAGGAUUAGAUACCCUACUAUGCUAGGCCUUUAACAUUGAUAGUAAAAAUACUCUACUAUCCGCCAGAGAACUACAAGUGAAAAACUUUAAACUCAAAGGAUUUGGCGGUGUCCCAUACCUGCCUAGAGGAGCCUGUCCUAUAAUCGAUACUCCCCGUUCCACCCAACCUCAACUAGCACCUCCAGUCUAUAUACCGCCGUCGACAGUCUACCCCAUGAGGGCCCAAUAGUAGACACAACAAUUUCCCACUAACACGUCAGGUCAAGGUGUAGCAUACGUUGAGGAAGAGAUUGGCUACAUUUUUUAUGAUAAAAAAUACGAAAUGCAAUAUGAAACCCCGCAUAAAGGUGAAUUUAGUAGUAAGAUAAACAAGAGUGUUUGUCUUAAUUAUGCUCUGGGACGCGCACACACCGCCCGUCACCCUCCUCAAUACACAAUUUUCCCUACAUAAACCAACUUAACCCACUAGAGGAGGCAAGUCGUAACAUGGUAAGCGCACCGGAAGGUGUGCUUGGAAUAA